This 231-nucleotide ribosomal RNA is filed under the name uncultured bacterium. RNAcentral describes it as "partial 16S ribosomal RNA". It matches the Rfam family "Bacterial small subunit ribosomal RNA", at positions 103 to 334 of the family's 1533-position model. The record is from RNAcentral.
CGGGUGAGUAACGCGUGGGUAACCUGCCUCAUACAGGGGGAUAACAGUUAGAAAUGACUGCUAAUACCGCAUAAGCGCACAGUACCGCAUGGUACAGUGUGAAAAACUCCGGUGGUGUGAGAUGGAUCCGCGUCUGAUUAGCCAGUUGGCGGGGUAACGGCCCACCAAAGCGACGAUCAGUAGCCGACCUGAGAGGGUGACCGGCCACAUUGGGACUGAGACACGGUCCAA